Molecule: long non-coding RNA, 2285 nt
Filed under: Brassica napus (rape)
Lineage: Eukaryota; Viridiplantae; Streptophyta; Magnoliopsida; Brassicales; Brassicaceae
Description: long non-coding RNA (BNAP_LNC025371)
Source: RNAcentral
CCUCUGGCGAUAAAAACGGUGAUUUCUCCCUGUGGCUUUGGUCGACGUCUCAAUGGGUGUCUCUGGUCGACGAUGGAAAACGGCGAGCUCUCAAUCGGUGGCUAUCCUCGGUGAAGGAAACGGUGAUUUCUCUCCCGUGGUGGCUAUCUCAGACGAGGGAGAGUCGGCGAUUGUUUCUCAAGGGAAUCGAAAGGUAAAGCGUGUCUUUGAUUCUCUCCUCUAUGCAUGCCUUUGAUUGAUUCAACUAUGCAUGUCUUUGAUUGAGCCGGUUCUUGUUCGUGAACUGUUAAAAAUUGAAAAACCAAAUUUUUUUUUGGUUUCUGUCUUUGUGUGAGCAUGAUUGUGGAUCGUAUCAAGGUACAACAAAGGCCUAUGACUGUUCAGACAGGUAAAACUUUUAUCUUUACUCUGAUCUUGUUGAUUAAAGCGUUGUCUGUAUUCGUUGGUUGUUUGCGGUUGAUUAUGUUGUUAUUGAUUCUUGUUUGUAUUCGUUGGUGGUAUUGAAUCGUCGGUAAUAUGGAUGGUGUAGUGUGAUGAUCGCGUUAUGUUAAGCUAAUACUUUGUCAACAAUGGUUUGAUAGAUAUGGAUUGUUUGAAUAAAACCUUUCUCUUUCCUAUGUUUGAAUAAAAACUCUGUUUGCGUUAGGUAAUGGUUGUGUUAAGAUAAUAAAUAGAAGUUAUGGUUUGAUAGAUAUGGAUGGUUUGAUGAUAAUAAAUUGUGUUAGGUUAUGGUUGUGUUUAAUGUUUUAGAUAUAUGUCCACUCAGAUAGAAAGCAAAUGUUGGUUUGUGAUCAAUGCAUUGCUACCUUCUUCGGUGUAUAAAAAAAAUGUUUCCUUCUCAUCUGUCCUCUAUCCGUGUUCUUCUCUUCUCACUUCUUCAUCAUUGUGCUUUUCUUUUCUCUCUUAUUUGAGCAUCCUGUCGAGAUGGAUUCUAAUCCAUUUAUGCAGAGUUCAAACUUUGUUGAGCUACUUAGCCAACAAAGUAUUUCAUUUGCUAACUAUGAAGAUAGUACACUAUCUUCAUCUCGAGUUCCUCCUCUACGCACCGAUGAUGUCGGGAACGAUGUUGGCGAACGUCGGGAACGAAGAAAAUGGACACCGACUGAUGAUGUUGUAUUGAUCAGCUCGUGGCUUAACACGAGUAAGGAUCCAGUGGUUGGUAACGAGCAAAAAUCAGGCGCCUUCUGGAAGAGAGUCGCAGCUUACUUUGAGGCAAGUCCGAAGCUUGCUGGCUGCGAGCAGAGAGAGCCCAGCCACUGUAAGCAAAGGUGGCACAAGAUUAACGACUUGGUGAGCAAGUUCUGUGGGUGUUAUGAAGCCGCAACGAGAGAGAAGGCUAGCGGAUGCAAUGAGAAUGAUGUCCUGAAGCGAGCCCAUGAAAUUUUCUACAAUAACCACAAGAAGAAAUUCACCCUUGAGCAUGCCUGGAAGGAGUUAAGGAACGAUCAGAAGUGGUGUGACCUUGCCACUGCCAAAACUGAUGGAAGCUCUAAGAAGAGGAAGUGUGAUGAUGGUGCAGAUUCAUCAAGCUCGCAAGCUACUGGAUCCAAGCGCCCAGCGGGUGUGAAGGCUGCAAAGGCCGGUGGUAAGAAGACUAUGGCAGAGGAGACUGUGCAUGCUGAGUUUCAGAGAAUGUGUGACAUUAAAUAGCAAGACUUGGUAGUGAAAGAGAAAGGCUUGGUAGUGAAAGAGAAGGUCUCGAAGAUGAGUCUACUUGACUCUCUUAUUGCCAAAAAAGAACCUCUAGGCGACUAUGAAGAAGCCCUCAAGAAGAAGCUCAUCAGUGACUUGAUAUAUAACUAGAAGUCUAGCAUUUUUACUCUGUUGCUUAAUGUGUUAGUCUAUGUUCUUGUCUUUGGUAACUCUCUGUUUCUUGUUUCUUGUCUCGGUUGGUCUUGUAACUCUAUGUCUUUAAACGCUUAAUGUUAGAGUUUGCUUUGUGUUUCCUGUCUUUGAAUAAUGUUCUCACGAUUUCUAUUUUACACUUACCUUUCAGGAACGAUCAGAAGGAGCAAACAGAGUUGUCGUCUUGUGUCACGGAGUGAAAGAGUUGUGGAGCAAACAUAGUUGUCGUCUUGUGUCACGGGGUCUCGUUCAUGCAUGAGUCUUGUUUAUUUUUUUCACGCUGCUUCUGUAAUCAUGUUGUAGUAUUGUUGUACAGCAGGUGUCACGGGAAGAAGUUUGUGUCACUGGAUUUUUUUUAAUGGUUUGACGUUUGUGUUUGUGUUUCUAUAUAAAGUCUCCUUCCGUGUUUGUGUUUCUAUAUAAAGUCUCCUUAUGUGUUU